UUGAGCCAGACAAAGAGGUAAAGCGGUGCCAAACUGGGUUAUUUCACCAGUGUGGAUGCAGCUAAAAAGUGUAUUUUUGACAGCAGCAUUCAUCUCAGGAGAUGCAAAUAAAUAAAACAAACAAAACCAACAAAUAAAAAGGUCACUUUUCUUUAUUCUUACGAAGCCCAAGGAUAAAAUAUUCAGAGAAAAAUGGCACGAAAAUUGCUGUUUGUUUUUGUUUUUUGAAACUGCCUUGUUUCUGAUGUAAUAACAUUGAUCCAGACAUUCAGCUCUGCACUGGCCCCCCUCUUUCCAGGCAAACGAUGAGAUGGUUCAGGGCCUGCCUCCUUCUCUGAUGUGUUUUCUCCCACCCCUUUUGCUUGACUGCCCUCUCCGUAUUUUUAGCACAACGCCCAACAGAAACAAAAAGAGAGCGAGAGCGAGGCUUUAAGCUUCUUUUCUGCCUUCCCCACAGAUUCAUUUCCUCCAAACAAAAGAGCCAACGCGACAGAGGAGGCAAUUCCCGAAGGCUCUCCCAGUGCCAGCUCAGAGGAACAAACACCCAAGAAAUCAAGCCCAAGGCAGCGGCCAACGUAAAUGGCUUGUGAGAAUGAAGAACAUUUGUUUCCUUGUUCUUUGGAGGCAUCAGGUUCAUGAAGCAAGGAAGAUGCAGAGUUUAUAUAUGAAAGAAAAAACGUAUCACUGAUUCUCCAUGGAAUGGAGAACUUGUACAAGCACUGAAAGAAAUCUGUAAUUGAGUAACACUAAAAGUCAGGCACUCUUAAUGGAUCUGCCUCUUAAAGCAUUGGAUGUAGCAUUCUGCAAUUAGGUUUUUCCUCAUUUGCUUCAUUGUACUACCUGUGUAUAUAGCUUUUACAUUAUGUAGCACAUAAACCUUUAUCUCCCCUUCCCAUCUUUUUUUGUUGGUUUGUUUGUUUUGGGAAUGGUUGGAGGUCACGACAGGUGAUGGGUUCAAAAUCUGUUUCCAAAACCCGGCAGGCAGAAGCGACGUAUGUGUUGAAUUAUUUCUUAAAGAUGUAUUAUCCCAUUUAAUGGAGUCCAAGACCGUUGAGAGAGAAAACAUGUUAACACUGGCAAUAGCAGAUUGAUGGAAUCUGUUGGUGACAUUUCUACGCAGUAAGAGCGCAUUCCAGUGAGAAGUUACCUUUGCUAAAUUCCACUGAAAUGAAUGGGGAGUGUAGAAAAGCAGAUUCAUUUUAGUGGGCCUUGUGCAAGAGGACGGCCGUGUCCUAAAUGUUAUUGAGGAACUUUGUUUCCAGUAUGUAGCAGCAUAAAGGGCUCCCUUCUUGGAACCCUUUUUUCCUAAUAUAUUUUGGCAUCUAUAUUGUUACUUUAGAUAUUUUUCAAAAAUAAUUUAAAACUUCCUGCUCUGAAUAAAAUGGAGAGAUUUGUAAAACCCUGAACUUCAACCUCUCUUCAUCUCACUUCUCUGAUGUUCAUGGGUGGGUAAAUAUAAAAAGGAAAACUACAUCUUUAAACAGUAUUUUUUUUAUAUUGCCUUGUGUUUUUUUAAAAAGAAAAAUUAAAGUUUUGAAAUGUACCUGUGUACAUAACUUUGUAAAAAACACUGAGAAAUUAUACUAACUUAUUUAUGUUGAAAAGAUUUUUUUUUUUAAUCUAGAAGAUGUUUUCCCAUAAAGCCAAAGCGGCGCGUGUUUUUGUGCAUUUGUAAAUGCUCUCUUUGGUAGGGUUUUUUUUUUUGUUUGUUUAGUUUUUGUUGGGGGGUUUGUUUUGUAAUUAAUAUGGCUGUGCUUAAAUGAUUGCAGACUGAGCCAAUUUAAUUUUUUUUUUGUGUCAAGACAUUUGCCAAUUGAUACUGUUUCACAUCAAGCAAUCAAUAAAGAAAACUGCCAUAUAUAAAUAAAUAAAAAUAUAUAUAUACACACACAUAAAAA
Molecule: long non-coding RNA, 1898 nt
Organism: Sceloporus undulatus (fence lizard)
Lineage: Eukaryota; Metazoa; Chordata; Lepidosauria; Squamata; Phrynosomatidae
Exons: 2
Source: RefSeq, a predicted model, not a curated record